UACGUAGGGGGCAAGCGUUAUCCGGAUUUACUGGGUGUAAAGGGAGCGUAGACGGAGGUGCAAGUCAGCGGUCAAAUUGCGGGGCUCAACCCCGUACUGCCGUUGAAACUGCAUCCCUUGAGUGCGCGAGAAGUAUGCGGAAUGCGUGGUGUAGCGGUGAAAUGCAUAGAUAUCACGCAGAACCCCGAUUGCGAAGGCAGCAUACCGGUGCACAACUGACGCUCAGGCACGAAAGCGUGGGUAUCGAACAGG
RNAcentral lists this ribosomal RNA (252 nucleotides) under uncultured Bacteroidales bacterium. Its description in RNAcentral is "partial 16S ribosomal RNA". It matches the Rfam family "Bacterial small subunit ribosomal RNA", at positions 524 to 776 of the family's 1533-position model. Lineage: Bacteria; Pseudomonadati; Bacteroidota; Bacteroidia; Bacteroidales. The record is from RNAcentral.